Sceloporus undulatus (fence lizard) is the source of this 1634-nucleotide long non-coding RNA. RefSeq lists it as uncharacterized. Lineage: Eukaryota; Metazoa; Chordata; Lepidosauria; Squamata; Phrynosomatidae. The record is from RefSeq and is a predicted model, not a curated record. The transcript is spliced from 2 exons.
CCACAUUUCAACUAAGUUGAUUUUCUUCCUAUCCACUUCCUUCAUUGUCCACAUCUCACAUCUGUACAUGGUAAUGGGGAAUACGAUGGCUUGGACGCUUCUGACUGUAAUGCUCAGAUUCAUAUCUUUGCUUUUCAAGAUUUUUUUCUAGUUCUUUCAUUGCUGUCCUUCCUGUUCCUUGGCUUAUCUUGUAAGAGCUCUGGUGGUGCAGUGAUUAAAUGCAGGUACUGCAGCCGCUCAGUCACAAACCACACGGUUGUGAGUUUGAUCCUAGUCAGGGGCUCAGAGUUGAUUCAGUCUUGCAUCCUUCCUAGGUGGCUAAAAUGAGUACCCAGAUUGUCAGGGGCAGUUAGCUUACACUUUGUAAACCGCUUAUGGUGUGCUUAAGUGGACUGAUAAGCGGUAUAGAAAUGUACUUGCUAUUGUUAUUAUAGUACACUAAAUCACAUUAUUUCCCCCCCCUCCCCUAUUGUGAAUGGUUUUCUCUCUUUGGUGCAACCCUUUGUUUGCAUUAAUGAACUUCCUAUCUCUUAAGACAGGCAAGUGCCCCUUCCAGUGAGUUCACACCAUAACAAGUCAAGCUGGCAUCCAAGCAUGAAUUCUGCAAUCCGACUUCACUGGUCUUAUUUAUUUUUUCAUAGCCAGCUGAGAAAUCUUAUAACUCUGAAGAGAACUAGUAAGCUGGCAGAGGUGUAGUAUAAAUAAAAUCUGUUUUCUUCAUCAUACACAUCUUUCACCAAUAGUUUUUAUUGCCAACUUGCUUAUUUGGCAGAGAUGUGAUUAAUGGCCUGAAGGAAAAACUGAAAGUUUGUAUGAUUUCAACUUGACUGCCACAUAUUAUAUAUAACUCCAUCACUGUCCCCUUCAUGUUUGAUGUGCCUUUUGGAAUGUAGAUGCACAAGUGCCCAUCCUACUGUAGCUGCAUGCCUGCCUAAAACAGGCAAAGUAAAUGGCUGCUGCCUCCAGGAUCCCAUACUGAGUAUAAAUGAACAGCAAAGCAGAGAGAAAAUGGGAAAAGCCUGCCUCACCAGCUAUUCAUCAGACAAACUAUUAUUGGUGUUUCAGCCAACAUGUACAAGUCUGUCAAGUCUGCGAAUCCUUUAGGAUCUGGAUCUGCAUUUGUGAAGCAUUUUAUCUUUGUACCUCCAACUGGAGGAGGAUCUUACCCAUUUUCAUAAAGAGUUGAAGACCACCUUUGAGUCACUGGAUUAAGCUGCUGAGUGUGCCCAAAGUUGCCAAGAUGGGUAGCGACUGAUGGGGUGGGGAGGAUUUCAUUUUUAGUAUAUUCUAGUGUUAUGUUUUAUUGUUUCAUCCUUUAUUAUAUAUGUUUGAUGUUCUGCAAUUUAGUGAAAAGGGUGUUAUAAAUAAACAUUACUGUUGUUAUUAUUAUUAUUAAACUUUAUUUCUAAAGCGCUGUAAUUAUAUGCUGUAAUAAUGUUGUUAUUAUAUUGGCUAAUGCCUCUGUUAUCCCAGCAUUUGUGACAUUCUGAACGCCUCUUUCAAUUUCUGUGAUUCUGUGUAAUAUCUUCAGAAUCUGAGCUUUUCAUGUUGUACCACUUCUCUUGACCAUGGUAAAAAAAAAACCUUCAAAUCUCAGAGAAAUGUGUAGACAUUAAAACAAUUAAGGAUGUAAA